UAGGGAAUCUUCGGCAAUGGACGAAAGUCUGACCGAGCAACGCCGCGUGAGUGAAGAAGGUUUUCGGAUCGUAAAACUCUGUUGUUAGAGAAGAACAAGGACGUUAGUAACUGAACGUCCCCUGACGGUAUCUAACCAGAAAGCCACGGCUAACUACGUGCCAGCAGCCGCGGUAAUACGUAGGUGGCAAGCGUUGUCCGGAUUUAUUGGGCGUAAAGCGAGCGCAGGCGGUUUCUUAAGUCUGAUGUGAAAGGCCCCGGCUCAACCGUGGAGGGUCAUUGGAAACUGGAAGACUUGAGUGCAGAAGAGGAGAGUGGAAUUCCAUGUGUAGCGGUGAAAUGCGUAGAUAUAUGGAGGAACACCAGUGGCGAAGGCGGCUCUCUGGUCUGUAACUGACGCUGAGGCUCGAAAGCGUGGGGAGCAAACAGG
Molecule: ribosomal RNA, 429 nt
Filed under: Gemmatimonadota bacterium
Lineage: Bacteria; Pseudomonadati; Gemmatimonadota
Description: Gemmatimonadetes bacterium partial 16S ribosomal RNA
Rfam family: Bacterial small subunit ribosomal RNA
Source: RNAcentral